Molecule: transfer RNA, 67 nt
Filed under: Tenumembrana ceylonica
Lineage: Eukaryota; Metazoa; Arthropoda; Insecta; Blattodea; Blattidae
Description: tRNA-Ile
Source: RNAcentral
AAUAAAGUGCCUGAACAAAGGAUUAUCAUGAUAGGAUAAAUAACGUAAUGUAAAAUUACCUUUAUUA